GUAAAAGGAUUUUCAAAAGGGCCCUUUGUUUGCUCUGUUGCUAAGCUCCUGUUUUUGUUAAAUGUCCUACUGAGCUCUGCCCACUUCAUUCUUUUUGUUAAGACUAAAGGCGCUCGUUACCAAGCAGCCCUUAUUGUGUGCUGUGUCUCUAAUCCACCUUUGUGCCACUGUCUGCAGCUUUCUCCUGGGGCCAUAAGAACAAACUAGUUCAAACUCUGUGGAUGUAAACUCUAUAGAAGUGACAGGUCAGGACAUAUCUCCAGGAAAUUCAAGGUAAGCCAGUACCUUUGUUGUCAGGAUGGCUCCAUAUAGUUUGUCGCAGCCACUGUCCUCAGUCUCCUUUGAGGAAAAAAUGAAAUUCUCUGCAAGCCAGUCUCUCUCUUUUGCAAGAAGCAAAUGGUUCGCACUCCCACAGACUGAGAGUCAAAGCGUCGUGUGGAGCAUCAAACCACCAGAUUUCUCUCUGAAGCUGUACAGAUCUCUGUCAGAUCCUCAAAAGAAAGACAGAAAUACACAUUCAAAUCCAGUUGUACUGCACAAUAAUGAAACAAAGAGGAGAACUGGAGUACUUCUACCAAAGAUUUUACAUGAGAGUUACCAAAGGGAAAAUCCUCCAAAGUUCAUCACAUCCUACAAGCCUCCUGAUGCUCUGGAAUCUGAGCUGAUGUUUGUCAAGACGGGGAAGUUCCCAUCUGGAUCUUACAAGAACCCCAAACCUCAUGACUUCAGACAGCUUAAUGAAGACAUUCCAGACAUUGUUACUUCAUAUGACAGAGAUCCUGGCAACCUGAAUUUUAAAUUAAAGCACUUGGACAUCAUUCGGGCAACUAGAUCCGAGUCAGACUUCAGUUCAAGAGACACCAAGAAAAGAAUGGACACCUUUAAACCUGCAGAGCCCAGAUGGGAUGCGAGACUCGUCCUUCCUCAGCCAACCUGGCCUCCAAAAUCAGCUUCCUACACCAGGCACCGACGAAGAAGAGGAGCAUACAGCGCAUUCUUGGACCGUGUGGAGGAGAAACUCUCAAGAUCAUGGAAAAAUAGAUCAUGACUGUCUCUUCUUAAAUUCAUCUUUGAAAAUGAUUUUUUACAUGUGCAUGCUUGACUUUACCAAUAUGGUGUACUGUUGAAAAUAAAAUUGGAAUAAGUGUUGAAUAAGCAUGAAAUUCCAAUGAACAAGCCGAAGAUAAACAAAUCAGCUUGACAAGAUAUAUUUGUGAUCAUAGAAAAGCCAAAAAAAACGAGUGCACAUCUGAGAACACAACGUGAACUGAAAAGGACUGAACAGAUCUGACGUAUUCAAAGAUUCCUGUCGCUCUAAUCUUAUGGCAGAAGACAUGCAGUGACUGUGGUGUCAUGAAGGUCAACACACCACUUUAGGGAACCCACUGGUCUACUGACAGCUGCUCAUUCGGUACUGCAGGAAUGAUAAACAUGUGAAGCCUGCACAUGUUUGCAGCAUAUCUGAGGGAGCUGCACAUAUGUGUUUCAUGUGUCAUCUGUGACUCUGUGCUUAACUCGCAGACUAAAUAUAAAAUGAAACGAAUAUCUGUCACUGCGUUGAGCCACAUGACCUGCAGGCAGGCUGCCAUGUGUUUUUCUAAGCUUAUUGCAGCAUGGCUAAUAAAUGUUCUAUUUACUAGUGUCAUUGUGCUUUACAGUGCUGAGCAAAAGUCUUGAGGCAGUCAGGGAAAAUGCUAGACAUUGAAAACACAAAAUGUAGCCAAAUACAGAAAAUCCUGGGAACACAAUAAGUUUCAUCCAAGUCUGCUAAAUAAAUCCUCUCCAAAGGAAGCUAUAUGAUAUAAGCACUUCACUUCCUAAAAGAACCAUCACAGAAACUGCGAAAAAAUAUGUUUAACAUAUCAACAUAUUAGCUACAUAGCAUGAAUAUACACUAGAAUAUAUAAAAUCAAAACCAACAUGGCUGUCACCUCCGCGCUGAGCUAGCUAAGAUGCAAGACCAGCUCUAUGAAGUUUCAUCUUCACAAUGCUACUUUUUUGAUUUUUGAAACAUAAAUUAAAUCCCUGAAGUAAAAAGAUUAUAACUAAAGUCGGCCUGCAAAGACGGACUAGUGAGUAGAUAGAUCAUGGUGCUGCAUCGUAGUCAACUGGAGUUUCUUGAUGACGUUUCACCUCUUAUCCGAGAGUCUUCUUCAGUUCUAACUAACUGGAGGGGAGUCGGCAGGCUUUUAUCAGUAUCAUACAGUCUGCCUACUCCCCUCCAGUUAGUUAGAAAUGAAGCAGCUUCUUGGAUAAGAGGUGAAACAUCUUCAAGAAACUGAAACAUCCAGUUGCCUACGAUACAGCACCUACCUACUUGAUAGCAACAGCCAUCUUUACCGGUGCUUUACAGUUAAAUUGCGGGACACCUAAUGAAGUUUUUCAUGUUGCAGAACAAACCAAAAAUCAAUUAAAAAUAAACCUCAUAAACCUUGACACAAGGGAACCAGAUGUGUAAAACUGCUAAUUGAUUUCCAGGUUUUAUGACCACAGACUGACUUCACUCUAUUAACGGCUCUGCAUACUUUCUCUGAAAUAAGAUCUGAUGGUGGGCUUCUGUUAGGGGAAUGAAUUAUAUCAUUAUUUUUAUGUAUUUUUGUGUAGGCUGCGAAUGCUAAGAAAAGGCCUAAUUUUGUAAUUUUGUCUGGGUGGCCAUCUUUUACUACAGUAAAGUAGGUGACUACUUCUUCCACCACUGGCCUCCGUGUGAAAAUAAACAAAAUCGAAUAAACAACUGUGACCUAAAGUACUUACAGAAACAGGCACAGGUUAUGUAAGACAGUCGAUAGACGGUCAGGCCAAUUUGUCUGUUUAUCUCUCAUGCAUGGUGGGCUGCAGUCAGCGUGGCGCUCUUCCUGUUUUCUGACCAAUCAGUUCAAAGAAAAACACAAGGGUGGACGGGGCGGGGCUUCUCUCUCUCUCUCUCACACACACACACACACACACAAAGACACACACACUCUCUCUCUCUUUGUGUGUCCAUCUCUCGCCACACACACACGGUCAGAAAAGGGAAAGCACGCUGACUCGCCGAGCUGAAUCAAUG
This 3046-nucleotide long non-coding RNA is filed under the name Sparus aurata (gilthead seabream). Its description in RNAcentral is "lncRNA (ENSSAUG00010003167.1)". The record is from RNAcentral. Lineage: Eukaryota; Metazoa; Chordata; Actinopteri; Spariformes; Sparidae.